RNAcentral lists this ribosomal RNA (460 nucleotides) under uncultured bacterium. Its description in RNAcentral is "partial 16S ribosomal RNA". It matches the Rfam family "Bacterial small subunit ribosomal RNA", at positions 338 to 795 of the family's 1533-position model. The record is from RNAcentral.
CCUACGGGAGGCUGCAGUGAGGAAUAUUGGUCAAUGGCCGUAAGGCUGAACCAGCCAAGUCGCGUGAAGGAAGAAGGAUCUAUGGUUUGUAAACUUCUUUUAUAGGGGAAUAAAGGUAUCCACGUGUGGAUAUUUGCAUGUACCCUAUGAAUAAGCAUCGGCUAACUCCGUGCCAGCAGCCGCGGUAACACGGAGGAUGCGAGCGUUAUCCGGAUUUAUUGGGUUUAAAGGGUGCGUAGGUUGUUUUUUAAGUCAGCGGUGAAAGUUGGUGGCUCAACCAUAAAAUUGCCGUUGAAACUGGAAGACGUGAGUGUGUUUGAGGUAGGCGGAAUGCGUGGUGUAGCGGUGAAAUGCAUAGAUAUCACGCAGAACUCCGAGUGCGAAGGCAGCUUACUAAGCCAUAACUGACACUGAAGCACGAAAGCGUGGGGAUCAAACAGGAUUAGAUACCCCAGUAGUC